AGAGUUUGAUCAUGGCUCAGAUUGAACGCUGGCGGCAGGCUUAACACAUGCAAGUCGAACGGUAACAGAACUAGCUUGCUAGUUGCUGACGAGUGGCGGACGGGUGAGUAACGCGUAGGAAUCUACCGAAUAGUGGGGGACAACAGUUGGAAACGGCUGCUAAUACCGCAUACGCCCUACGGGGGAAAGGAGGGGAUCUUCGGACCUUUCGCUAUUUGAUGANCCUGCGUGAGAUUAGUUAGUUGGUGGGGUAAUGGCUCACCAAGGCGACGAUCUCUAGCUGGUCUGAGAGGAUGAUCANCCACACUGGGACUGAGACACGGCCCAGACUCCUACGGNAGCCACCAGUGGGGAAUAUUGCACAAUGGGGGAAACCCUGAUGCAGCCAUGCCGCGUGUGUGAAGAAGNCCUUCGGGUUGUAAAGCACUUUCAGUUGUGAGGAAAGGUUAAGGGUUAAUA
RNAcentral lists this ribosomal RNA (459 nucleotides) under uncultured bacterium. RNAcentral describes it as "bacterial SSU rRNA". It matches the Rfam family "Bacterial small subunit ribosomal RNA", at positions 8 to 466 of the family's 1533-position model. The record is from RNAcentral.